GGAGAAAAGCAGGGGAUCGCAAGACCUUGCGCGAAUGGAGCGGCCGAUGGCAGAUUAGGUAGUUGGUGAGGUAAAGGCUCACCAAGCCUUCGAUCUGUAGCUGGUCUGAGAGGACGACCAGCCACACUGGGACUGAGACACGGCCCAGACUCCUACGGGAGGCAGCAGUGGGGAAUUUUGGACAAUGGGCGAAAGCCUGAUCCAGCCAUGCCGCGUGCAGGAUGAAGGCCUUCGGGUUGUAAACUGCUUUUGUACGGAACGAAAAGUCUCUUUCUAAUAAAGAGGGAUCAUGACGGUACCGUAAGAAUAAGCACCGGCUAACUACGUGCCAGCAGCCGCGGUAAUACGUAGGGUGCAAGCGUUAAUCGGAAUUACUGGGCGUAAAGCGUGCGCAGGCGGUUAUAUAAGACAGUUGUGAAAUCCCCGGGCUCAACCUGGGAACUGCAUCUGUGACUGUAUAGCUAGAGUACGGUAGAGGGGGAUGGAAUUCCGCGUGUAGCAGUGAAAUGCGUAGAUAUGCGGAGGAACACCGAUGGCGAAGGCAAUCCCCUGGACCUGUACUGACGCUCAUGCACGAAAGCGUGGGGAGCAAACGGGAUUAGAUACCCUGGUAGUCCACGCCCUAAACGAUGUCAACUGGUUGUUGGGUCUUCACUGAUUCAGUAACGAAGCUAACGCGUGAAGUUGACCGCCUGGGGAGUACGGUCGCAAGAUUAAAACUCAAAGGAAUUGACGGGGACCCGCACAAGCGGUGGAUGAUGUGGAUUAAUUCGAUGCAACGCGAAAAACCUUACCUACCCUUGACAUGGACGGAAGCCACGAGAGAUCGAGGUGUGCUCGAAAGAGAACCGUCACACAGGUGCUGCAUGGCUGUCGUCAGCUCGUGUCGUGAGAUGUUGGGUUAAGUCCCGCAACGAGCGCAACCCUUGUCAUUAGUUGCUACGAAAGAGCACUCUAAUGAGACUGCCGGUGACAAACCGGAGGAAGGUGGGGAUGACGUCAAGUCCUCAUGGCCCUUAUGGGUAGGGCUUCACACGUCAUACAAUGGUACAUACAGAGGGCCGCCAACCCGCGAGGGGGAGCUAAUCCCAGAAAGUGUAUCGUAGUCCGGAUCGGAGUC
Molecule: ribosomal RNA, 1120 nt
Filed under: uncultured Comamonadaceae bacterium
Lineage: Bacteria; Pseudomonadati; Pseudomonadota; Betaproteobacteria; Burkholderiales; Comamonadaceae
Description: bacterial SSU rRNA
Rfam family: Bacterial small subunit ribosomal RNA
Source: RNAcentral